AUGAAAGUUCUAAGUGGUGCGUCCCCCUCAAUUCGGCCUUCCUCCUGGUCAAGGGCGAAUAUGCGUUUCUUUCUAUGUCUGCCAUUGGCAAGCAUUUGGAAGUAUUUCGUAUUAUCAUCACCUUGCACAAGCGAAUCCGCCUUGCAACGUUGGUACCAUUUAAUCUCUUCCUCGCGUAAUAGGCGGGCAAUCUGCUCAUUUAGACUACUUUUUUGCUCAAUCUCAACAACAGUCAGAGGCCUGACCUCCGCUAUUUUAUCAAGGGAAUUGAUUAAGGUAGAUAGUCGCAGUUUUUCUUUUUUGUAA
Molecule: ribosomal RNA, 306 nt
Filed under: Triticum aestivum (bread wheat)
Lineage: Eukaryota; Viridiplantae; Streptophyta; Magnoliopsida; Poales; Poaceae
Description: partial small subunit ribosomal RNA
Source: RNAcentral